AACGAACGCUGGCGGCAUGCCUAACACAUGCAAGUCGAACGAGACCAUCGGGAGUAGUGGCGCCCGGGUGCGUAACGCGUGGGAAGCUGAACUUGGGGUGAGACUAACUGAGAGAAAUUGCAACUAAUACCAUAUAAUGUCUACGGACCAAAGAUUUAUCGCCGAGGGAUGAGCCCGAGUAGCAUUAGGUAGUGGGUGGGGUAAUGGCCUACCAAGCCGACGAUCAGUAGCUGGUCUGAGAGGAUGAUCUGCCACACUGGGACUGGGACACGGCCCAGACUCCUACGGGAGGCAGCAGUGGGGAAUAUUGGACCAUGGGCGAAAGCCUGAUCCAGCAAUGCCGCGUGAGUGAUGAAGGCCUGAGGGUUGUAAAGCUCUUUUACCCGGGAUGAUAUUGACAGUACCGGGAGAAUAAGCUCCGGCUAACUCCGUG
This 433-nucleotide ribosomal RNA is filed under the name uncultured bacterium. RNAcentral's name for it is "partial 16S ribosomal RNA". It matches the Rfam family "Bacterial small subunit ribosomal RNA", at positions 29 to 507 of the family's 1533-position model. The record is from RNAcentral.